UCCGAUGGCCUAAGCCAUACCCUAUGGU
Molecule: non-coding RNA, 28 nt
Filed under: Rattus norvegicus (Norway rat)
Lineage: Eukaryota; Metazoa; Chordata; Mammalia; Rodentia; Muridae
Source: RNAcentral